Molecule: ribosomal RNA, 482 nt
Filed under: uncultured bacterium
Lineage: Bacteria
Description: partial 16S ribosomal RNA
Rfam family: Bacterial small subunit ribosomal RNA
Source: RNAcentral
AUUGAACGCUGGCGGCAUGCUUUACACAUGCAAGUCGAACGGUAACAGGCCGCAAGGUGCUGACGAGUGGCGGACGGGUGAGUAAUGCAUCGGAACGUGCCCAGUCGUGGGGGGUAACUACUCGAAAGAGUAGCUAAUACCGCAUACGAUCUAUGGAUGAAAGCGGGGGACCGUAAGGCGUCGCGCGAUUGGAGCGGCCUAUGUCGGAUUAGGUAGUUGGUGGGGUAAAGGCUCACCAAGCCAACGAUCUGUAGCUGGUCUGAGAGGACAACCAGCCACACUGGGACUGAGACACGGCCCAGACUCCUACGGGAGGCAGCAGUGGGGAAUUUUGGGCAAUGGGCGCAAGCCUGACCCAGCAAUGCCGCGUGAGGGAAGAAGGCUUUCGGGUUGUAAACUGCUUUUGUAAGGAAAGAAUCAGUUCUGGUUAAACCGUGGGGGUAAUGACGGUACCGAAAGAGAAAGCACCGGCUAACUACGUG